CCUACGGGUGGCAGCAGUGGGGAAUAUUGGGCAAUGGGCGCAAGCCUGACCCAGCAACGCCGCGUGAAGGAAGAAGGCUUUCGGGUUGUAAACUUCUUUUGUCAGGGAAGAGUAGAAGACGGUACAUGACGAAUAAGCCACGGCUAACUACGUGCCAGCAGCCGCGGUAAUACGUAGGUGGCAAGCGUUGUCCGGAUUUACUGGGUUUAAAGGGCGUGUAGCCGGGUUGACAAGUCAGAUGUGAAAUCCGGCGGCUUAACCGCAGAACUGCAUUUGAAACUGUUGAUCUUGAGUACUGGAGAGGCGGACGGAAUUCCUGGUGUAGCGGUGAAAUGCGUAGAUAUAAGGAGGAACACCAGUGGCGAAGGCGGUCUGCUGGACAGCAACUGACGGUGAGGCGCGAAAGCGUGGGGAGCAAACAGGAUUAGAUACCCUAGUAGUC
Molecule: ribosomal RNA, 442 nt
Filed under: uncultured bacterium
Lineage: Bacteria
Description: partial 16S ribosomal RNA
Rfam family: Bacterial small subunit ribosomal RNA
Source: RNAcentral